AGAACAUUUUAAAGAGGGUUUGUGGAACCCAAACCAGGACCUCUUAACACUGUGACCAAAGAUUGAAGUUCUCCAUAGAAUGUAAUUGUCACUCAAUAGUGCUGUAUUUUCCUGGAGAAAUAAAAGA
Small nucleolar RNA from Pteronotus mesoamericanus, 127 nucleotides. RefSeq annotates it as small nucleolar RNA SNORA25. NCBI's taxonomy places the organism in Eukaryota, Metazoa, Chordata, Mammalia, Chiroptera, Mormoopidae. The record is from RefSeq and is a predicted model, not a curated record. The transcript has a single exon.